AGUCGUAACAAGGUUUCCGUAGGUGAACCUGCGGAAGGAUCAUUAAAGUAUUCUUUGAGGACCAGCGCUUCCACAGCGCGGUUUUCUAAAACCUUACACACUGUGAAUUUUUUUUCUAUGAAUUGCUUUGGCUGGGGAGUCUUUCCAGCCAGAGGUUUUUAAACACAAGAUUUUAUCUUUUUCUUACAAAACUCAGUCAACGAAGUAUUUAAUUACUAUAAUCUUCAAAACUUUCAACAACGGAUCUCUUGGUUCUCGCAACGAUGAAGAACGCAGCGAAAUGCGAUACGUAAUGUGAAUUGCAGGUUUUCGUGAAUCAUCGAAUCUUUGAACGCAUAUUGCGCUCUCUGGUAUUCCAGAGAGCAUGCCUGUUUGAGCGUCAUUUCUCUCUCAAACCUCUUGGGUUUGGUAUUGAGUGAUACUCUCUCCACAGGGUUAACUUGAAAUACUUAGGCAAGAGCGUGUCAGUAGACUUUUCUUGGACUGAAAUAAUGUAUUAGGUUCUACCAACUCGUUAUUACAUCCGGGCUAAAAAUCUCCAGGCAGCCAGGCUCGGCCUAACAACCUUUCUACAAGUUUGACCUCAAAUCAGGUAGGACUACCCGCUGAACUUAAGCAUAUCAAUAA
Molecule: ribosomal RNA, 627 nt
Filed under: Williopsis sp. ST8-7b
Lineage: Eukaryota; Fungi; Ascomycota; Saccharomycetes; Phaffomycetales; Wickerhamomycetaceae
Description: eukaryotic LSU rRNA
Rfam family: 5.8S ribosomal RNA (bases 229-382)
Source: RNAcentral